UCUGAAAGUUUGCAACUGGAAAACAACGCGGUUUACUGGUUACCAACUUCUACUGAACUCCAAAUGUUAAGAUGCUCCGCAUGGAUUACCUGCAGCGUUUGGGACUCUGGGCUGAAGACAUCAUGGUUUUUCCCCUGGAUUCCCAGGGCAGGAGUCACCGAGGGGCGCCCAGGUCAGAUUCACCGGGAACGGAAUAAUCCCCUAGUCCCUGAAGGGGAGCCACAAGCCUCUACGGGUCUCGGCCAGUCUGCAGAGGCUGCGUGGAAGGAAAAAUAUUGCCCUAAAAAGAGACCACUUA
Long non-coding RNA from Miniopterus natalensis, 298 nucleotides. RefSeq lists it as uncharacterized. The record is from RefSeq and is a predicted model, not a curated record. Lineage: Eukaryota; Metazoa; Chordata; Mammalia; Chiroptera; Miniopteridae.